This 201-nucleotide long non-coding RNA is filed under the name Jatropha curcas. RNAcentral's name for it is "long non-coding RNA (JCUR_LNC001047)". Lineage: Eukaryota; Viridiplantae; Streptophyta; Magnoliopsida; Malpighiales; Euphorbiaceae. The record is from RNAcentral.
UAUUCUUCUUUUCUCUUCUUCUUUUACUCUUCUUUCUCUUUAUUCUUCUUUCUAGGACCAACCUUCUUCCAUUCUGGAACGUAUGUCGUCCAUCCCACCCCUUAUAGAUCUUCUUACAUUAAGGGCCAUCCUUCAUACAAUGUCCCCUCUCUUAUUACUCCAUAUUAUCAUCAUCUACCCAAUCCCCCACCUUCCUUCAUA